GCUGCGGAGGGAUCAUUG
RNAcentral lists this ribosomal RNA (18 nucleotides) under Cytospora sp. 30 NC5. Its description in RNAcentral is "partial 18S ribosomal RNA". Lineage: Eukaryota; Fungi; Ascomycota; Sordariomycetes; Diaporthales; Cytosporaceae. The record is from RNAcentral.